Molecule: long non-coding RNA, 1138 nt
Filed under: Gallus gallus (chicken)
Lineage: Eukaryota; Metazoa; Chordata; Aves; Galliformes; Phasianidae
Description: lncRNA (ENSGALG00010020983.1)
Source: RNAcentral
UACCCCCUGAGAUGGGAGCGGGCCCACAGUUUGGGGCAUUGCCCCAGCUGGCAGCUGAAGCACAGUUGGGGGCAUUGCCCCAGGUGGUGGGAGCUGAGCCACCAUGGAGUGCAGCCCCUGUGGUGGGAUCAGAUCCACCAUUGGGACUACCCCCUGAGGUGGGAGCUGACCCCCAGUAUAGGGCAUUGCCCCAAGGGGCAGCUCAACCAUAGUUUGGGGCAUUGCCCCAGCUGGCAGCUGAGCCACAACUGGGGGUGUUGCCCCAGCUGGCAGUUGAAGCACAGUUUGAGGCAUCGCCCCAGGUGGCAGCUGCGCUCCCUGUCCCUGCACACCCGGUACCCCCGGCUGGACAGAGGCCUGAGGCACCAUGGAGGUGACAUUGGGGGCAGGGAUGGGCUGGAAGGAUACGGGCACUGCUCCGCCAAUGGUGGUCUGCAUCGCAGCAGUGGCCGGUGGGGGCACAAAGGCUCCAAAUAAAGUUGCGUCGGGUGUCGGAAGCACCGUCAGCGAUGAAGGAAUUCUCUCUGUGGGGAAAUGCCCAAAUGGGCGCCGGGGUGAGAUGUGGGGCACUGGGACCCCCUGGAGGGCCGCAGUGCCAGGAGCAGGAGGAGCCUGCUGCCUUACCUGCCGUGGCAGCUCGAGAGUGGCGCUGGGGGGUUCCGUGAGCGCUGGGGUCAGCCCCUCUGCCCUGAGCUCACAGUGCCCCUCUGUGACGCUGUCCCGUGGUGUCACAGGCACUGCUCUGUGCCUGCCAUGUCAUCAACUUGCUGUGGCUGUAAUCAUGCUGGUGACAGCAUGGGACGAGUGUGGGGAGCUAUGGCCUCUGCCCUUCUCAUACUCCUCCUCCUGAUGGCCACAACUUUCUGGAAGUUCGCUGCUGCUCCGUGGCGAGCACCAGGAGCAGGUGGGUGAGCAAAACGGAGCGGCACGGGGGGCACGAAGUCACUGCAAGGACAGAGCCUUUGGGGCUCCCCCUCCCGUUCUCUUUUCUUCCCCUCUCCAUCCCAUUUCCAUUCUCUUCCCCUCCCCGUCUCCAGACACUUCCACACACGGACUGUUGUGUAUCAGCACGGUGCCACUGCAGGCGCCGCAGUCCACUCCUGCACAACCGCUGGUUCCAUCAGCUGUGGCUGUCCAG